UACGGGGGGGGCAAGCGUUGUUCGGAAUUACUGGGCGUAAAGGGUGCGUAGGCGGCUUUUUAAGUUUGGUGUGAAAUCUCCCGGCUCAACUGGGAGGGUGCGCCGAAUACUGAGAGGCUAGAGUGCGGGAGAGGAAAGUGGAAUUCCUGGUGUAGCGGUGAAAUGCGUAGAUAUCAGGAGGAAUACCGGUGGUGUAAACGGCUUUCUGGACCGUAACUGACGCUGAUGCACGAAAGCGUGGGUAGCAAACAGG
This 253-nucleotide ribosomal RNA is filed under the name uncultured bacterium. RNAcentral's name for it is "partial 16S ribosomal RNA". It matches the Rfam family "Bacterial small subunit ribosomal RNA", at positions 524 to 776 of the family's 1533-position model. The record is from RNAcentral.